This 28-nucleotide small RNA is filed under the name Bombyx mori (domestic silkworm). Its description in RNAcentral is "ovarian small RNA-2345". The record is from RNAcentral. Lineage: Eukaryota; Metazoa; Arthropoda; Insecta; Lepidoptera; Bombycidae.
UUAUUAAACCCAACUGCGCUUUAGCUUA